This 842-nucleotide ribosomal RNA is filed under the name uncultured archaeon. RNAcentral describes it as "bacterial SSU rRNA". It matches the Rfam family "Archaeal small subunit ribosomal RNA", at positions 19 to 859 of the family's 1478-position model. The record is from RNAcentral.
GGAGACCACUGCUAUUGGGGUUCGGCUAAGCCAUGCAAGCGGAGGGCAGUUCGGCUGCCCCGCGGACGGCUCAGUAACACGUAGUCAACCUACCCUUGGGUCGGGUAUAACCCCGGGAAACUGGGGAUAAUCCCCGAUAGGUGGGGGUACUGGAAAAGUCCCUCUCCCAAAGCUCCGGCGCCCAAGGACGGGACUGCGGCCCAUCAGGUAGUUGGCGGGGUAACGGCCCACCAAGCCGACAACGGGUACGGGCUGUGAGAGCAGGAGCCCGGAGAUGGAGACUGAGACAAGGCUCCAGGCCCUACGGGGCGCAGCAGGUGCGAAAACUUCGCAAUGCGCGAAAGCGUGACGAGGGAACCCCAAGUGCCGAUGGUCUUUUUGAUCGUCGGCUUUUCAAGAGUUCAAAACGCUCUUGGAAUAAGAGCUGGGUAAGACUGGUGCCAGCCGCCGCGGUAACACCAGCAGCUCAAGUGGUGGUCGCGAUUAUUGGGCCUAAAGCGUCCGUAGCCGGGCCAGUAAGUCCUUUGUGAAAUCGGACGGCUCAACCGUUCGGCUUGCAGGGGAAACUACAGGCCUUGGGGCCGGUAGACGUUGAGGGUACUCCGGGGGUAGCGGUGAAAUGCUCUAAUCCCUGGGGGACCACCAGUGGCGAAGGCGCUCAACGAGAACGGACCUGACGGUGAGGGACGAAGGCUAGGGGAGCGAACCGGAUUAGAUACCCGGGUAGUCCCAGCUGUAAACGAUGCAGGCUAGGUGUUGGCGCGGCUACGUGCCGCCCCAGUGCCGCAGGGAAGCCGUUAAGCCUGCCGCCUGGGAAGUACGGCCGCAAGGCUGAAACUUAA